CCGGUGUCGACUUACUAGCUGCAAGCCUCUGCCUGCCUUCCUGCGCGCCGUUCCCCGCUAGUCGCUGCUGCUGGCGCGCACUCGCCGGGUUUUUCCUCCCACGGCCUCGAGAUGGUGGUGAAUGUGGCACGGAGGAGCCGGGCCUUCCAACCCGGUGGGCCCGAGCUCCGAAAGGCCCCCUCGGCAGUGAGAGGGGCGGGAGCCCGCGGGGGCCGCGCCCUUCUCUCGCUUCGGACUGCGCAACGCUGCGCUCUGGGCUGACAGAUGAAGACUCUUAAGAUGACAGAAGGUGAUUUUUCUGGUGAUCGAGGACUUCCGGGGUAAUGACAGUGAUGAAAUGCAGGGGACCUGGUAGGUUUCUUUUGGAGACUAACUGGGGGCUGCCUGGUGGGACAGAACAGCAUGUUUCCAAGGGCUGUGGCUGGUCAUAGCCAUGGGAUCUCCAACUGCAUGCAAGAGCAACCUGGAAAGACUUUGACAGCGCAGGUUGCCCCCAAGUUUCCUGGCAGUGUGUGAUACUGAGGAGGUGAGCUUGUUUCUGGAGCUGUGCUUUAAGAUUCAUGUUACAUGUAAAGCUGUCCUCAUUUGUGACUAUGGACCUAUGGAGUUGGGACAAUCUCUAUGGGAAGCAGAAGGCAAGGACCCCGGUCAUUUUAGGUAGAAACAACAGCAUGCUAAUGCAAAAAAUUAUGCAGUGUGCUACUGAACUUCAGAGGUGAUCAAUAAAAGAAGAAUAAAAAGACUAAUAAAAGUA
Molecule: long non-coding RNA, 754 nt
Filed under: Homo sapiens (human)
Lineage: Eukaryota; Metazoa; Chordata; Mammalia; Primates; Hominidae
Description: small nucleolar RNA host gene 12
Rfam family: Small nucleolar RNA SNORA44 (bases 399-510)
Source: RNAcentral